Molecule: small nuclear RNA, 104 nt
Filed under: Myotis davidii
Lineage: Eukaryota; Metazoa; Chordata; Mammalia; Chiroptera; Vespertilionidae
Source: RNAcentral
GUGCUCGCUUCGGCAGCACAUAUACUAAAAUUGGAACGAUACAGAGAUUAGCAUGGCCCCUGCGAAAGGAUGACACACAAAUUCGUGAAGCGUUCCAUAUUUUU